AAAGCUGGCGUCUUCGGCGUCCGCAUUGUAAUCUCAAGAAGUGUUUUCCGCUUCGGACCAUGCCUAAGUCCCUUGGAAAAGGGCAUCAUAGAGGGUGAUAAUCCCGUACAUGGCAUGGAGCGCCCGAAGCUUUGUGAUACGCUUUCUAAGAGUCGAGUUGUUUGGGAAUGCAGCUCAAAAUGGGUGGUAAAUGCCAUCUAAGGCUAAAUAUUGGGGAGAGACCGAUAGCGAACAAGUACAGUGAUGGAAAGAUGAAAAGAACUUUGAAAAGAGAGUUAAACAGUACGUGAAAUUGCCAAAAGGGAAGGGUAGGAGGUCAGAGAUGCGGCCUGGGAUUCAGCCUUGCUUUUGCUUGGUGUUUUUCCCAGAUUGCAGGCCAACGUCGGUUUUGGGCACUGGAGAAGGGUAGGAGGAACGUGGCACCUCUCGGGGUGUGUUAUAGCCUCCUACUGGAUACAGCGACCGAGACCGAGGACAGCAGCGUACUCGCAAGAGCGGGCCUUCGGGCACCUUUACGCUUAGGGCGUUGGCAUAAUGGCCCUCUACCACCCGUCU
Molecule: ribosomal RNA, 555 nt
Filed under: Moesziomyces aphidis
Lineage: Eukaryota; Fungi; Basidiomycota; Ustilaginomycetes; Ustilaginales; Ustilaginaceae
Description: eukaryotic LSU rRNA
Rfam family: Eukaryotic large subunit ribosomal RNA
Source: RNAcentral